RNAcentral lists this ribosomal RNA (502 nucleotides) under uncultured bacterium. RNAcentral's name for it is "partial 16S ribosomal RNA". It matches the Rfam family "Bacterial small subunit ribosomal RNA", at positions 29 to 523 of the family's 1533-position model. The record is from RNAcentral.
AUUGAACGCUGGCGGCAUGCCUUACACAUGCAAGUCGAACGGCAGCACGGGUGCUUGCACCUGGUGGCGAGUGGCGAACGGGUGAGUAAUGCAUCGGAACGUACCCGGAAGUGGGGGAUAACGUAGCGAAAGUUACGCUAAUACCGCAUAUUCUGUGAGCAGGAAAGAGGGGGAUCGCAAGACCUCUCGCUUUCGGAGCGGCCGAUGUCGGAUUAGCUAGUUGGCGGGGUAAGAGCCCACCAAGGCGACGAUCCGUAGCGGGUCUGAGAGGAUGAUCCGCCACACUGGGACUGAGACACGGCCCAGACUCCUACGGGAGGCAGCAGUGGGGAAUUUUGGACAAUGGGGGCAACCCUGAUCCAGCCAUGCCGCGUGAGUGAAGAAGGCCUUCGGGUUGUAAAGCUCUUUCGGCGGGGAAGAAAUCGCAUCUCCUAAUACGGGGUGUGGAUGACGGUACCCGCAUAAGAAGCACCGGCUAACUACGUGCCAGCCGCCGCAGUAA